CGUAUGGAACCUGCCCCUGUCAGGGGAAUAGCCCAGGGAAACUUGGAUUAAUGCCCCAUGGUACCGUUACAUCGCCUGAUGUUUCGGUUAAAGAUUUAUCGGACAGGGAUGGCCAUGCGUACCAUUAGUUAGUUGGCGGGGUAACGGCCCACCAAGGCAGCGAUGGUUAGGGGCCCUGAGAGGGGGAUCCCCCACACUGGUACUGAGACACGGACCAGACUCCUACGGGAGGCAGCAGUGAGGAAUAUUGGACAAUGGGCGGGAGCCUGAUCCAGCCAUGCCGCGUGCAGGAUGACUGCCCUAUGGGUUGUAAACUGCUUUUAUACGGGAAGAAACGCACCUACGUGUAGGUGUCUGACGGUACCGUAAGAAUAAGGACCGGCUAACUCCGUGCCAGCAGCCGCGGUAAUACGGAGGGUCCGAGCGUUAUCCGGAAUCAUUGGGUUUAAAGGGUCCGUAGGCGGGCCUGUAAGUCAGGGGUGAAAGUUUGUGGCUCAACCAUAAAAUUGCCUUUGAUACUGCAGGUCUUGAGUCAUGGUGGGGUUGCCGGAACAUGUGGUGUAGCGGUGAAAUGCAUAGAUAUCACAUAGAACACCGAUCGCGAAGGCAGGUGACCAACCAUGUACUGACGCUGAUGGACGAAAGCGUGGGUAGCGAACGGGAUUAGAUACCCCGGUAGUCCACGCCGUAAACGAUGGAUACUAGCUGUGGGGACUUCGGUCUCCGUGGCCAAGCGAAAGUGAUAAGUAUCCCACCUGGGGAGUACGUUCGCAAGAAUGAAACUCAAAGGAAUUGACGGGGGCCCGCACAAGCGGUGGAGCAUGUGGUUUAAUUCGAUGAUACGCGAGGAACCUUACCAGGGCUUAAAUGCAGGCUGCAUGGGGUAGAGAUACCCCUUUCUUCGGACCGCCUGCAAGGUGCUGCAUGGUUGUCGUCAGCUCGUGCCGUGAGGUGUCAGGUUAAGUCCUAUAACGAGCGCAACCCCUACCGUUAGUUGCCAGCAUGUCAAGAUGGGGACUCUAACGGGACUGCCGGUGCAAACCGUGAGGAAGGUGGGGACGACGUCAAAUCAUCACGGCCCUUACGUCCUGGGCUACACACGUGCUACAAUGGCCGGUACAGAGGGAAGCCACCCCGCAAGGGGGCGCGGAUCUACAAAACCGGUCACAGUUCGGAUCGGGGUCUGCAACUCGACCCCGUGAAGCUGGAAUCGCUAGUAAUCGGAUAUCAGCCAUGAUCCGGUGAAUACGUUCCCGGGCCUUGUA
RNAcentral lists this ribosomal RNA (1265 nucleotides) under Allomuricauda sp. xn53. RNAcentral's name for it is "bacterial SSU rRNA". It matches the Rfam family "Bacterial small subunit ribosomal RNA", at positions 116 to 1385 of the family's 1533-position model. Lineage: Bacteria; Pseudomonadati; Bacteroidota; Flavobacteriia; Flavobacteriales; Flavobacteriaceae. The record is from RNAcentral.